This 253-nucleotide ribosomal RNA is filed under the name uncultured bacterium. RNAcentral's name for it is "partial 16S ribosomal RNA". It matches the Rfam family "Bacterial small subunit ribosomal RNA", at positions 524 to 776 of the family's 1533-position model. The record is from RNAcentral.
UACGGAGGGUGCGAGCGUUGUCCGGAAUCACUGGGCGUAAAGGGUGCGCAGGCGGCCAAGUGUGUGAGGCGUGAAAGCCCGGGGCUCAACCCCGGAAUUGCACCUCAAACUACAUGGCUAGAGCAUUGGAGAGGGUAGCAGAAUUCAUGGUGUAGCAGUGAAAUGCGUAGAUAUCAUGAGGAAUACCAGAGGCGAAGGCGGCUACCUGGACAAUUGCUGACGCUCAGGCACGAAAGCGUGGGGAGCAAAAGGG